AAUAAUUUUUGUGUAUGUAUUCAUUCGAUGACCUUCGCUAGUCCUAGAUGUAUAAAUCCUCACCUAUAUUUUUAUCGUAAAGGAUUUCUUCUUUUCGUUUUAUACAUUUUCUAUUGCGCUCGUAUCUAUUUCUAUUAUCAAACACCCUUAUACCUAACCAGGUAUGUGGGAUGUUACAACUUGGUAUCAGAGCAUAAUCCUCGAAAAAUC
Molecule: long non-coding RNA, 210 nt
Filed under: Carica papaya (papaya)
Lineage: Eukaryota; Viridiplantae; Streptophyta; Magnoliopsida; Brassicales; Caricaceae
Description: long non-coding RNA (CPAP_LNC010202)
Source: RNAcentral